RNAcentral lists this ribosomal RNA (433 nucleotides) under uncultured bacterium. RNAcentral describes it as "partial 16S ribosomal RNA". It matches the Rfam family "Bacterial small subunit ribosomal RNA", at positions 29 to 506 of the family's 1533-position model. The record is from RNAcentral.
AGCGAACGCUGGCGGCAGGCCUAACACAUGCAAGUCGAACGAACCUUUCGGGGUUAGUGGCGGACGGGUGAGUAACACGUGGGAACGUGCCUUUAGGUUCGGAAUAACUCAGGGAAACUUGUGCUAAUACCGAAUGUGCCCUUCGGGGGAAAGAUUUAUCGCCAUUAGAGCGGCCCGCGUCUGAUUAGCUAGUUGGUUGAGGUAAUGGCUCACCAAGGCGACGAUCAGUAGCUGGUCUGAGAGGAUGAUCAGCCACAUUGGGACUGAGACACGGCCCAAACCCCUCCGGGAGGCGGCAGUGGGGAUCCUUGCGAAUUGGCCGAAGGCCUGCCGCACCCUUCCGGGGUGAUUAAUGAGGGUUUAAGGUUUGAAAAUUCUUUCCCCCGGGACGGUAAUUGCGGUAACCCGAGGAGGAGGCCCCGCUUACUUCCGU